Non-coding RNA from Chlorocebus sabaeus (green monkey), 1991 nucleotides. The record is from RefSeq and is a predicted model, not a curated record. Lineage: Eukaryota; Metazoa; Chordata; Mammalia; Primates; Cercopithecidae.
CGAGCUCACUCCGGCAUGAAGUUCCCCGUGGAUACUCGUGACGCGUCCCCAGUUCCCACUCUCAUUGGGUGUCGGAUGUCUAGAGAAGCCAAUCAGCGUCGCCGCGGUCCCAGUUCUAAAGUCCCCACCCGCCCAUCCGGGCUCAGAGUCUCCUCAGACGCCCGGAUGCGGUCAUGGCGCCCCGAACCCUCCUCCUGCUGCUCUCGGGGGCCCUGAUCCUGACCGAGACCUGGGCCGGCUCGCACUCCAUGAGGUAUUUCCACACCGCCGUGUCCCGGCCCGGCCGCUGGGAGCCCCGCUUCAUCUCCGUGGGCUACGUGGACGACACGCAGUUCGUGCGGUUCGACGGCGACGCCGAGAGUCCGAGGAUGGAGCCGCGGGCGCCGUGGGUGGAGCAGGAGGGGCCGGAGUAUUGGGACCGGAACACACGGAUCGCCAAGGGCCACGCACAGACUCACCGAAGGAACCUGAGGACCGCGCUCCGCUACUACAACCAGAGCGAGGGGGGGUCUCACACCAUCCAGAGGAUGUCCGGCUGCGACCUGGGACCCGACGGGCGCCUCCUCCGCGGGUAUUACCAGGACGCCUACGACGGCAAGGAUUACAUCGCCCUGAACGAGGACCUGCGCUCCUGGACCGCCGCGGACAUGGCGGCUCAGAACACCCAGCGCAAGUGGGAGGCGGCCGGUGUGGCGGAGCAGCUGAGAGCCUACCUGGAGGGGACGUGCGUGGAGUGGCUCCGCAGACACCUGGAGAACGGGAAGGAGACGCUGCAGCGCGCGGAUCCCCCAAAGACACACAUGACCCACCACCCCGUCUCUGACCAUGAGGCCACCCUGAGGUGCUGGGCCCUGGGCUUCUACCCUGCGGAGAUCACACUGACCUGGCAGCGGGAUGGGGAGGAGCAAACUCAGGACACUGAGCUUGUGGAGACCAGGCCAGGAGGAGAUGGAACCUUCCAGAAGUGGGGAGCUGUGGUGGUACCUUCUGGAGAAGAGCAGAGAUACACGUGCCAUGUGCAGCACGAGGGAUUGACGGAGCCCCUCACCCUGAGAUGGGAGCCAUCUUCCCAGUCCACCAUCCCCAUUGUGGGCAUUGUUGCCCUGGCUGUCCUGGCACUUGUGUUCAUCGGAGCUGUGGUCCCUGCUGUGAUGUGGAGGUGGAAGAGCUCAGGUGGAAAAGGAGGGAGCUACUCUCAGGCUGCAUCCAGCGACAGUGCCCAGGGCUCUGAUGUGUCUCUCAUGGCUUGAAAAGCCUGAGACAACUGUCUUGUGUGGGACUGAGAUGCAAGAUUUCUUCACGCCUCUCCUUUUGUGACUUCAGGAGACUCUGGCAUCUCUUUCUGCAAAGGCAUCUGAAUGUGUCUGCGUCUCUGUUAGCAUAAUGUGAGGAGGUGGAGGGACAGCCCACCCCCGUGUCCACCGUGACCCCUGUUCCCAUGCUGACCAGUGUUUCCUCCCCAGUCAUCUUUCCUGUUCCAGAGAGGUGGGGCUAGAUGUCUCCAUCUCAGUCUCAACUUUAUGUGCACUGAGCUGCAACUUCUUGCUUCCCUACAGAAAAUAAGAAUCUGCCGGGCGUGGUGGCUCACGCCUGUAAUCCCAGCACUUUGGGAGGCCGAGGCGGGCGGAUCACGAGGUCAGGAGAUCGAGACCAUCCUGGCUAACACGGUGAAACCCUAUCUCUAAUAAAAAUACAAAAAAUUAGCCACGCAUGGUGGUGCGCCCCUGUAGUCCCAGCUACUUGGAGGCUGAGGCAGGAGAAUGGCGUGAACCCGGGAGGCGGAGCUUGUAGUGAGCCAAGAUGGCGCCACUGCACUCCAGCCUGGGCGGCAAAGCGAGACUUUGUCUCAAAAAACAAAAAAAAACAGAAAAUAAGAAUCUGAAUAUAAAUUUGUUUUCUCAAAUAUUUGCUUUGAGAGGUUUAUGGAUUAAUUAAAUAGGUCAAUUCCUAGAAUUUGAGAGAGCAAAUAAAGACCUGAGAACCUUCCAGAA